AAUGAACGUUGGCGGCGUGGAUUAGGCAUGCAAGUCGAGCGAGAACCUUCAGCAAUGGAGGGGAAAGCGGCGAAAGGGAGAGUAACGCGUGGAUCAUCUACCCUCGGGACUGGGAUAGUCCGCCGAAAGGCGGAGUAAUACCGGAUGACGUCCCCGGACCAAAAGGUGUACUUCGGUACGUCCGCCUGAGGAUGAGUCCGCGUCCUAUCAGCUUGUUGGCGGGGUAACGGCCCACCAAGGCGACGACGGGACUGGGUGUGAGAGCACGACCCAGCUCACUGGGACUGAGACACUGCCCAGACACCUACGGGUGGCUGCAGUCGAGGAUCUUCGGCAAUGGGCGCAAGCCUGACCGAGCGACGCCGCGUGCGGGAUGAAGGCC
RNAcentral lists this ribosomal RNA (382 nucleotides) under uncultured bacterium. RNAcentral's name for it is "bacterial SSU rRNA". It matches the Rfam family "Bacterial small subunit ribosomal RNA", at positions 28 to 416 of the family's 1533-position model. The record is from RNAcentral.